This 456-nucleotide long non-coding RNA is filed under the name Mus pahari (shrew mouse). RNAcentral's name for it is "predicted gene 14330 (MGP_PahariEiJ_G0003022.1)". Lineage: Eukaryota; Metazoa; Chordata; Mammalia; Rodentia; Muridae. The record is from RNAcentral.
CCAAACCCCAGGAGGGCGAGCUUGUAAGCCCCUUAUAUCUGAAGUUCUUCCUCUGUGGCCAUGGAGGCUCUGCUCUGAGAACUCAGGUUAUUGAGAACAGAGUCUCCCCCCUGAGGAACUUCAAUUCGAACGGUGGUAAUCUGGUGCUAGUUAAACAGGGGGAAACUGAGGCAAGAAAUCCUCUACAUUGGGAAAUCUGGUUCCUCUUCUAAACACUUCUGCAAUCCCAUAGAGCUGCCCGGCUCUCCACUGGAAAAGUGCAUUGUGUAUGAAGUGUGAGACACCAGUGCUCUGUGAGGGUUCUUCUUCCUCCUACAGUCCUUACUGCUCCUCUGAGACCUAAAAAGUACCAUUUUCAGUUUCUGUUUAGCAUCAUUAAGGAAGAGCGGCAAUGGACAAGGGAGCUUCCUAGAGACGGCCCGCCAUCUUGCUCUGCUGCAAUAGGUGAACCCUGAG